GGGAGGAACCAAGGUUUCUCCUCCAGCCCAGGGAGCCAGGGGCUGGCAUUCUGUGUCCAGGACUUCGGGCCCUCUGUGAGCCUCUGUCCGCCAAGGCGAUGGAGCUGUGUUUGGAGUCCCUCGUCUUUGGCAGCGGCUGGGGCCAAAGCCCGGGCAAGACCAACGCCUUCGGCACCCGGACUCAGGCUCCGUCCUCUCUGCCAGCGUGCGGCUACAAUGACUCGACAUGGCAGGUGGGCAAGCACAGCACGCCCCAACAGACAUGCUUUAUUUAAUAUGUACUAAAAAUACAGCAGGCCUGUGAAACCCACAGGUGCAAUUGCUUAAAAUGAGGCUAAGGUAGACGUGUGAAUGGUUAAUAAUGAGUUGAUUAAAAUAUUCAGAAAUCAUCUACUGGAGACGGGCAAACUGCAAAAUGGUAGCAUGGGAGCAACUGAUGUUCGAGAAAGCCCAGGCUCCGGCAAGCCGUGGGUUUGAAUUUACACAUGCGCACAUAAUGGGUAUGAAUAAACCUUUCUUCAAAAAAACCAGAUCAAGUCAAGGCAGUUAUUUGCUGUGGGCAGGUGCCAAGGCUGGCUGCUUCAGUCCCCACGCGAGUCGCCCCCGAGCCUGCUUCUGCAGCCCAGCCUGGAAAGUGCAAGGCACUUGGAAAGGAGCCACGCCCAACGCCCUGUACCAGCGGCCUCCCGGACACCAACAGCGUCCUCUGCGCCUGCUGCAGCUUGUCCCUUAGUCCUCCCUGGACAGAGGGCGUGAAGUUGGCUGCGCCAACAGGACGCGGCCCGCUCACUUCGGGGCUCAUUGUCCUGGACACACAGUCAGGGCUGGACGCCUCCAGCAGCCCCACGCUUCACCCCAAGGUCCGCAAACCUGACAACUUCGGAGGCCACUGCCUUCAGAGAAGGUGACAGAGGGCCAUGUCUGAAACAUUCUCCCACAACCAGGAACCCUCAGCAGCCGCUGAAGAGGAAAGGCAGUUAAAUGGAAAGACUUCUGAGCAAGUGGAGGAAAAGUCACGUGUGACCUAGGGAGGGGCUCCCACAGGAAGGGGCAAUGCCCUUGCCCUGUUCACCUAGCCUCCAGGUGGCUUCCCACUUGAAAUUUCAGAGGAUGGCAGAAACCUACUUACAAGGAAAUGAAAGAGGGCACAGCAACCUUAAGACCAGAGCAGCCCACGAUAUUUUUUAAUGAGGGCAAAAAUAGAAGACUUGCAAAAGACCCCUGAAAAUAAUGCCUGGAAGCUGCGAAACAUCAGACUGACACCGCACAAAAGAGGUCCAGCUGAGCAGGAGAAAAGCUUGAGAAGCAUCCAGAACAAUGUAGGUGGAGAGGCUAAGAAGAAAGAGGAGCCCACAUGGAAUGAAUAACCAAGGUCGGGACAGAGGAAGGUUCGCCAGAACUGGGAGGGCUGAAAUUGGACAUUGAGAUAAAUUAAAGAGUGUUCUUUAAAACUGUCAAGACUUUGGCUGGUCAAUAAGUAAACUGCAAACGAGUGUUCCUAAACCACAGCAGCAAUGCUCCCUGGAGGAGGGAAGGAGGCCGGGGCUGCCACUCUCCCAGGUGGCUGCGUCCCGGCCUUUGCCAUUGAUGUGUGCUUUCUCCAGGCUCACAGAUGUCCCUGGGCCGGUUGCAUCUGUGACCAGGACUCUGCCACCUGCCUGUGGCUUGCUGAUCAGCUGGUCACCCAGGAAUGUUAGGGAUGAACAGAGACCUAGAACUCAGGCUCCAUGGAUCUGGCAGCACCAGGAGACGAGGUUUCAAAUCUCAUGGCUGGGCCAGCCAGCCAGGUGCCCUGGAACUGUUGUGAUCCCUGCUCCUUGCCGGGCUUAGCCUCCUCUUACUUCAGCCCAGAAGUCCCCGAGUACCCACUCAACAAAUGCCAUCCCUUUAAUUUCUGUGGCCUGCUGCCAUCACGGCUCGCCUAAUUCAUUCCCUCCACACCCUAAGUGUCCACGGAAGUGGCUGAAACAGUAAAACCACAGAGGAGCAUUCAUUCCAGUCCCCAAGGCAAGCCCCC
Molecule: long non-coding RNA, 2017 nt
Filed under: Homo sapiens (human)
Lineage: Eukaryota; Metazoa; Chordata; Mammalia; Primates; Hominidae
Description: non-protein coding lnc-CFAP100-2:2
Source: RNAcentral